AGUGAACGCUGGCGGCAGGCCUAACACAUGCAAGUCGAGCGGCAGCGGGUCCCCGCGAGGGGAUGCCGGCGAGCGGCGGACGGGUGAGGAACACAUCGGAAUCUGCCUGGUUGUGGGGGGAUAACGUAGGGAAACUUACGCUAAUACCGCAUGCGACCCUGAGUCGACGGACUGGGGGGUGAAAGUGAGGGACCUUCGGGCCUCACGCGACCAGAUGAGCCGAUGUCGGAUUAGCUAGUUGGCGGGGUAACGGCCCGCCAAGGCGACGAUCCGUAGCUGGUCUGAGAGGAUGAUCAGCCACACUGGGACUGAGACACGGCCCAGACUCCUACGGGAGGCAGCAGUGGGGGAAUCUUGGACAAUGGGCGCAAGCCUGAUCCAGCCAUG
This 387-nucleotide ribosomal RNA is filed under the name uncultured bacterium. RNAcentral's name for it is "bacterial SSU rRNA". It matches the Rfam family "Bacterial small subunit ribosomal RNA", at positions 30 to 396 of the family's 1533-position model. The record is from RNAcentral.